CCUACGGGAGGCAGCAGUGGGGGAUAUUGCACAAUGGGGGAAACCCUGAUGCAGCGACGCCGCGUGAGUGAAGAAGUAUUUCGGUAUGUAAAGCUCUAUCAGCAGGGAAGAAAAUUACAGUACCUGACCAAGAAGCCCCGGCUAACUACGUGCCAGCAGCCGCGGUAAUACGUAGGGGGCAAGCUUUAUCCGGAUUUACUGGGUGUAAAGGGAGCGUAGACGGUUAUGUAAGUCUGGGGUGAAAGCCCGGGGCCCAACCCCGGGACUGCUUUGGAAACUGUGUAGCUGGAGUACAGGAGGGGCAGGCGGAAUCCCGGGUGUAGCGGUGAAAGGGGUAGAUAUAAGGAGGAAACCCGGCGGCGAAGGGGGCCUGCGGGACUGAAACGGAGGUUGAGGCCGGAAAGCGUGGGGAGCAAACAGGAUAGAUACCCUUGUAGUC
RNAcentral lists this ribosomal RNA (439 nucleotides) under uncultured bacterium. Its description in RNAcentral is "partial 16S ribosomal RNA". It matches the Rfam family "Bacterial small subunit ribosomal RNA", at positions 338 to 795 of the family's 1533-position model. The record is from RNAcentral.